ACCAACGUUUCAUAAGGGGUUGCGAUCAGUCAUGUUUCAUAAACAAAACAGAGAACACUGUUUAACUGUCACACUGAUUACAGAAGAGUCUCAGCGGCAGAGAGGAGUUUCUGAUGUAGCGUUAUUCUUUUGAAUGAAGAAUACACACUUUACUCGACACUAUGAAGAGACUGUACUUCAUCGAGCCGAUCGUAGCGAUUUACGCGUUUGCCAGUUUUAUGGUGUAUCCCCUCGUGCAGCAGUACGUGUAUCGCAGAUUGUGGCUGGAGAUCACGAACUCAUCUUCCCCCGUGUCCGACAACACUUCCCAGUGCGCCGCCAACAACACCAGC
Molecule: long non-coding RNA, 332 nt
Organism: Sinocyclocheilus rhinocerous
Lineage: Eukaryota; Metazoa; Chordata; Actinopteri; Cypriniformes; Cyprinidae
Exons: 2
Source: RefSeq, a predicted model, not a curated record